GAGUUUGAUCCUGGCUCAGGAUGAACGCUGGCGGCGUGGAUAAGGCACGCAAGUCGAACGGACUUUAUCUUUCCGGAGAUGAGAUUAUAUCAAGUCAAAGGUCGUUUAAAGUUAGUGGCGAACGAGGUAGUAAUACAUAGGAACUUCCCCCUAAGUUGUGAAUAACCCAGCGAAAGUUGGACUAAUACACAAUAUGUCUCCGGACGAAAGUUUUUCGCUUAGGGAAAGGCCUGUGAAGUAUCAGCUAGUUGGCGGUGUAAAGGACCACCAAGGCUAUGACGCUUAGGGGAGCUGAGAGGCUGACCCCCACCGAUGGGACUGAGACACGGCCCAUACACCUACGGGUGGCUGCAGUCGAGAAUCUUCCGCAAUGGACGAAAGUCUGACGGAGCGACGCCGCGUGAUUGAUGAAGCUCUUCGGAGUGUAAAGAUCUUUUAUGAGGGAAGAAGUUUAUUGACGGUACCUCAGGAAUAAGGGGCUCCUAAUCUCGUGCCAGCAGGAGCGGUAAUACGAGAGCCCCGAGCGUUAUCCGGAAUUAUUGGGCGUAAAGGGUGCGUAGGUGGUUGUAUUAGUCGUUUGUUAAAUCUCUGGGCUUAACCCAAAGACCGCGAACGAAACGGUACAACUAGAGAAUGUGAAAGGUAUAGGGAACUCAUGGUGUAGGGGUGAAAUCCGUUGAUAUCAUGGGGAACACCAAAAGCGAAGGCACUAUACUGGCACAUAUCUGACACUCAAGCACGAAAGCAUGGGUAGCGAAUGGGAUUAGAUACCCCAGUAGUCCAUGCCCUAAACGAUGAUCUCUAGUUUUUCGAAGUAUCGACCCUUUGAGAAACGUAGCUAACGCGUUAAGAGAUCCGCCUGGGAACUACGGCCGCAAGGCUAAAACUCAAAGGAAUAGACGGGGACUUGCACAAGCAGUGGAUUAUGUGGUUUAAUUCGACGAUAAACGAAGAACCUUACCAAGGUUAGAAAUCAACGUGAAAGCUCUAAGAAACUAGAGCCCUCGCAAGACUAGUUGACAGGUGAUGCAUGGCCGUCGUCAGUUCGUGGUUUGAAUUGUUCCCUUAAGUGGGGUAACGAACGCAACCCUCGUCGUGUGUUAUAAGUGUCACACGAGACUGCCCCAACCAAAGUUUUUAAAUUAAUUUUUGAAAGUUUUGGUUGGGGAGGAAGGAGAGGAUGACGCCAGGUCAGCAUGUCCCUUGAUACCUUGGGCUACACACAUAAUACAAUCGCAAUUACAACGGGCAGCGACGGGGUAACCCUGAGCGAAUCCUAAGAAAAAUUGCGCCAGUUCGGAUUGGGGGCUGCAACUCGACCCCAUGAAGCCGGAAUUGCUAGUAAUCGCGGGUCAGACAUACCGCGGUGAAUACGUUCUCAAGUCUUGUACUCACCGCCCGUCAAUUCAAGGGAGCCGGGAAUACUCGAAAUCUCUCCAGAAGGAGGGCCUACAGUAAGCUCGGUGACAGGGAAUAAGUCGUAACAAGGUAACC
Molecule: ribosomal RNA, 1494 nt
Filed under: uncultured bacterium
Lineage: Bacteria
Description: 16S ribosomal RNA
Rfam family: Bacterial small subunit ribosomal RNA
Source: RNAcentral